This is an RNA transcript of Seriola aureovittata, 3520 nucleotides long. It is a transcript of the gene named RNA-binding protein with multiple splicing-like, with no coding region annotated. NCBI's taxonomy places the organism in Eukaryota, Metazoa, Chordata, Actinopteri, Carangiformes, Carangidae. The record is from RefSeq and is a predicted model, not a curated record. The transcript has 9 exons.
CACGCGGAGAUGGGGAGAGAAGUUUGCCUGCGGCGCAGUCCAGAUGAACAUUUACUCUAUUUCAUUUGGGGAACAGCAACAAGAGCCUCCGGAGAAGCUUUCCAGGGAAUGCUGAGGAAUAUCUGACAGCACAAAUACACCACUCACAACCGAGUUUUUCCUCUUUAAAAAAAAAAAAAAAUCUUUACUUAUCAUUGAUGUCGCCAAACUAGUGGGAAGCUCGGGUCAGUAGGACAGCGGCCGCACGCGGACUGUUGUCUGUCGGAGGGUGCUUUUUUAAUUUUUGGGUCCUGGAGAGGAAGAAGAGAGCGAAGCAGAGACGAGGAGAGGAAGAAGACAGUCCAAGUGAAAGUGAUAAGAGAGUCCGGCUCAGAAUGAAUAACAACAAAAUCGAGAAAGAAAACGAGCAGAGUGAAUUCACCAACCACGAAGAGGAGGUCCGAACGCUAUUUGUCAGUGGGCUACCACUGGAUAUUAAGCCGCGGGAGCUCUAUCUCCUGUUCAGACCAUUUAAGGGCUAUGAAGGCUCCUUGAUAAAACUGACUUCUAAACAGCCAGUGGGGUUUGUCAGCUUUGACAGUCGAUCAGAGGCGGAGGCUGCUAAGAAUGCCUUGAACGGGGUCAGGUUUGAUCCAGAAAUCCCCCAGACCCUGCGGCUGGAGUUUGCCAAAGCCAACACCAAGAUGGCCAAGAACAAGCUGGUUGGCACUCCCAACCCCCCUCCCUCCCAGCAGAGCCCUGGGCCACAGUUCAUCAGCAGAGACCCUUAUGAGCUCACAGUGCCUGCUCUAUAUCCCAGCAGCCCAGACGUGUGGGCGUCAUACCCGCUGUACCCGGCGGAGCUGUCGCCGGCCCUCCCACCCGCUUUCACCUACCCCUCCUCGCUCCACGCUCAGAUCCGCUGGCUCCCACCUGCAGAUGGAACUCCUCAGGGAUGGAAGUCCAGGCAGUUCUGCUGAAGUUCCUGAUGUGUGAUGGUGGCCGUGGCCGGCUGUGACGGGCGUUGCUGAUUGCCUCUCAUGUCCAAUUAGAAACAUGGAGGACUGACCUGACCCCAGCACUUGGAGCAGCGUAACGUCGGCAGCAGCAGCCUCAUGGGCCUCAGGACAUACUAGACCCCAGCCUCCAUCACACAUCGAGCCCCCCCCCCCUCCUUCUCACCCACCAUCCUCAAAGUCCCUCCAACUCUUUUUUAUACUGUUACAUACUCAAGAUUUACUGGCAGUGCUUUGGCUGCACCUCCUCUGACACCUCCAUGAAAGGUACCGGGCAUGCAUGACAAAGGCACACACACCCUUUGUUCACCAGUUGACUGCAUCGCCUGUCUGACAUUAGCAGGUCUCUUGCUUUGCAUUCUGUAUAUGCAAGUGUAAAAGACAGCCCACCAGAGGAGUGCAAACACAUUUUAUGCAGCCACUUUGCAAGGCCAGAUGUAUGGAAGUGUGGCUAAAGCACUGCUGGAUAAUGUUAUUAUAUUACUAUAAUUAUUACUAUUCUGUAUAUCAUUCAUAUUAAUGUUAUUAUGAUUAUUAAAUACAUGUUGAAGCAUGACUUUGCAAAAAAAAAGAAAAAAAAACAAUGCUGUACAUUUUUAGAUAUUUUAAAGAAAUACAAAAAGGUAUUUUUGUAAUCAAGACAAUGUUUGAAAUGGUUCUGUUUGAUUGAUUUAUGUUGUGCUAAAGUGUGUGUGGAACUUUCAUAUGUUUUUUUUAGUUUUUUUUUUUUGCCCUUCCUGUGCCAUUACAAAAUGGUAAGUCGCCCUGCUAUACCAAAGCAGUCCUGUCGGUUUGCUCUUGACUUUUCUACAUACCGUGUGGAUUUAGGUUUGCUCAUGUGUGUGUCUUUGUGUGGGCGUCUUUACCUCAUGAAGCAGACAUAUUAGUCCUUUGUCUGACGCGCUUUGGUUCAACUCAGCAGCCAAUGUUAACACUGAGUGUCAAAAACACUCCUGAUCCAGCUCAUAAUUUAGCAGUUUGAGGUAAUCAGAUGUGUUAAAAAAAAAAAAAAAAAAAAAAAAUAGGCAUUGACAGGAAUAAGCCAUUGGUGGUGAAGGUAGAGUGACCCCCCCCAGAGACUGCAAUGCAUGGCAAACUGAGCCCUGCUAUAAUUAGGAAUUUGCCCCUUCAUUGUGUUAGCAGGAGGACAGCAGCACAGUAUAGAGAAAAGAAAGACCAAAGGCAUUUUUUUUUUUACACUGGAGAGCUAUCUAGGCUAGUGGAGUUAUUCUGUUUUUGACUGCUUUGAAGUCCUCAAUCUGAUUUCUUAUGAAGUAUGAUAUUAUUUUCGCUGCAUGUCUCUUUUGGUGUCACUCCAAAGAGCCACUCUACAUCUGAAAGGAUAUUCACUUAAAGCAAUUUGUCUCCUUUGUCUAUUUUUAGGGAGCCAAUGUGAUUCAACGUGCUUUUGUAAAUUUUGAAUUUACAUAGUAAUGAUUGGAGUGGGGAAAAAAACACCCAAAUCUUUUGUAAUCUUGUGUAUUCUUUGGCCUGCAAUAACGUCUUUGCUGUAUGACAUAUCAUCGAGUGAUAAUGUGUCUGUGACAUUUUGACGCCAAAACUCUCAUUCAUGUCACAUCUGUACAAAGACGAACCUUGAUUCUUGUACUUUUCUGAUGAGGCUAAGUCACAUUUCACAGUGAUGUGACAGUGAAAACCUGAAGUAAGAAAACAACAAUCUUCCCUGUAAUCUUUAGCCCAGGUGUGUACAAUCAUGUUGGACUGGUUGAAUUAUAUAGUCAGUGUUUGUAAUGAAUAAUAAUAAUAUGCACGCACAUCAUAUCAACUGAUUUUUCUGAAGCAGUUUUUGCUUUUACAGACAUUUUUUAAGCCAACCGUGGCACCAAAUUUAUUAGAACAAGUAUUUAUAAGGUGUGUGUGUGUGCGUGUGUGUGUGUGUGUGUGUGUGUGUUUUUUUAUGGGUAUUAUGUUUUUAAAGUUCAUAGAAGAUGCCCAUCAUAUAAUUCAUUGUAAGUAUUAUUGUAAGUUUAAUUGUAUAUUCAUUUGGUAAUUUUUCUAGAGCUUCUUUUUGUGUUUGUAUCUGACUGAUUGAAACAUACUGUAUGUGAUAUAUGAAUACUGUUUUAUCUACAUAAUUCACUGUGAAAUCCAGAGAAAAACAUGCUCUUUGAACGAAUGGAUCUUUUUUUGUCUUUUGUCAGCAGUACGGUACAGAAGUCCCAUGAAAUUAAUAUUAUGGUCCCUCCUUUUGUCAAUGAAAAAUACUCCUUUCUUGUUUCAGUAUACCGUGUGCGUACCUGUGUGUUCUGUGCAUGUUCACGGCAUGUGUGUGUUCUUUUCUUUUUCUUAAUGCAUACAGUACUGUUGAUAUUUAUGUACUUUAGCCACUGUAAGGAGAAACUGUAUUUCAGUGAAUUGCAGAGGUGUGUUUGUUUGAAACCAAAAAAAAAAAAAAAAAAAAAAAAAGGUGAUCAAAAUGAGAAGUUUUUAUGAAAAUGUUAAAUGAAGACAUUUCAGGCCAUCUGCCAUUAAAGAUUGACGUCAUCCUUGGUGUCAUGAUUACA